Molecule: ribosomal RNA, 292 nt
Filed under: uncultured bacterium
Lineage: Bacteria
Description: partial 16S ribosomal RNA
Rfam family: Bacterial small subunit ribosomal RNA
Source: RNAcentral
GUGCCAGCAGCCACGGUAAUACAGGGGGUGCAAGCGUUGCUCGGAAUCACUGGGCGUAAAGCGUACGCAGGCGGACCGUUAAGUCGGGUGUGAAAGCCCGGGGCUCAACCCCGGAACUGCAUUCGAUACUGGCGGUCUUGAAUACGGGAGAGGUGAGUGGAAUUCCUGGUGUAGAGGUGAAAUUCGUAGAUAUCAGGAGGAACACCGGUGGCGAAAGCGGCUCACUGGCCCGAUAUUGACGCUCAUGUACGAAAGCGUGGGGAGCAAACAGGAUUAGAUACCCUGGUAGUCC